RNAcentral lists this long non-coding RNA (1289 nucleotides) under Sus scrofa (pig). Its description in RNAcentral is "lncRNA (ENSSSCG00030028560.1)". Lineage: Eukaryota; Metazoa; Chordata; Mammalia; Artiodactyla; Suidae. The record is from RNAcentral.
GCCUGUUCUUCUCGUUCCACCCUCCUUUGCCCCCUUAAUAGCAGCUCCCCUAUUCUGAGCCCUCCAGAAUUCAGCAGCCCUUGGUGUCCAUCAGGUUAGAGGCAGCCUGACACUCCCGUUCUCAGUGAGCAGCUACUAGCAAUCCUUUCCACGUUAGUCACAUUGCUUUGGUCCCCUUGGUGAAUUGGGUAGGGCUCCUACUGUGCGGUGUGCUUUACAGGGAAGGGAUCUGCCAAGUGGUGGCUGGGUGGAGGGAGCUGGCCUAGGUUUAUUGGUGGUCCCACGGCCAUUGUCUGGCAAGUGGGAGGGACUCUGAAUGGUUAUUAGCUGGGGAAAACCUAGAAUGUGGAAGGUCACAUGGUAAGGAAACACCAGUGAACUAUGCAUAGGGCCACAGGCUCUUUGAGUUUUUAAAAUGCUCUUAUCUAAAAUGGACAUACAAGAGUUCCUGCUGUGGUACCGUGGGUUAAGGAUCAGAUUGCAGUGGCUCGGGUUGCUGCAGAGGUUCAGAUUUGAGCCCUGGCCCAGGAACUUUCAUGUGCCGCAGGUGAGGGCAUAAAAUCUUUAAAAAUUUAAAAAAUUAAAUGAAAUGUAAAUAUAAUAAUAUUUCAUAAUAAUCUCUAAAGGAAGAGAAUCUGAAGCAUGUAUAUGUAUGUAUAUACAUAUAUAUCUGAAUUACUGUGCUGUGUACCUGAAACUAACAUGAUAUUGUAAAUCAACUAUAUUUCAAUUAAAAAUGGAAAAAAAAGGAAAUAUAAUACCACAUAGGGUUGUGUGGGUUAGAUGACAUACUAUGGAUUCACAUGUUUGGUAAAUUUGAAUGUGUUCUAUAAAUGUGAGAAAUUAAUAGAUGUGGUAUUAAUUAUAAUGAUUAGAGGAAGAGCAGAGGGAAGAAAUGUACUUGAAAGGAAGACUCUAGGGAGAUCAGAUGCUCGAUUCAUAAAUUAACGUGUGAUGAUGGAAUUUGAAGGCCUGGAUCAGAGAUGAUUCAGUAGGAACCUUCAGUACAUCCCGCACGUAACACCAGGUAGGCAGCAGCCUCACGUGUUCCUGAGCCCCUUUCUCUAGUUUUGUUUCUCCCUUGCCUAUGACUUCAUAUUAUUUUACCUCUUCAGACUCCAAAUAUCAAGAGUAAACUGCCGUGCAAUAAGUUGAGAGACCAGAAGGCAUCUUUAAUCAUUUACCUCUCUCCUCUUUGUCUCAUUUCCCCCUUGUGCAAAAUAUCGUGCCAUCUGACUUUUUUCUUUCCACCUGUGAAUAUCGAGAAAUAAAGCAAGAUGUUGUUUGCA